Molecule: long non-coding RNA, 223 nt
Filed under: Fragaria vesca (wild strawberry)
Lineage: Eukaryota; Viridiplantae; Streptophyta; Magnoliopsida; Rosales; Rosaceae
Description: long non-coding RNA (FVES_LNC003413)
Source: RNAcentral
CGGCUAAAGUCUGGGAAAAAAACCGACGACAUGUUUUUCGUUCGGCUAACUGUGGGACUAUAGCCGACGAAAAAAAAAUUUCGUCGGCUAAAGUCAUCACAGACGACCUUUUCCCGACGACACUAUAGCCGACGAGCCUUCGUCGGCUAAGAUCUUAGCCGACGAAUUAAGAUAACAGGCCGACGAAAAUUUUUCGUCGGCUAAAGUGCUUGUCCUGGUAGUG